Molecule: long non-coding RNA, 1239 nt
Filed under: Betta splendens (Siamese fighting fish)
Lineage: Eukaryota; Metazoa; Chordata; Actinopteri; Anabantiformes; Osphronemidae
Description: lncRNA (ENSBSLG00000008960.1)
Source: RNAcentral
AUGCAUGGAGGGUUCCACCCCAAAUCCAGCACCCUGAGACUGUACGCUAGCCGCAAGGAAGGAAGCCGAGGACUAGUGAGCGUGAGAGCCACUAUCCGGGAUGAAACAUGCAAGAUCCAUAAGUACAUCAAGGAUAAGGCCCCGACAGAUGACGUGCUGAGUGAAUGUCUCAGGCAGUGGAGAACAGAGGAUGAGAUGCUGGAAGAGGGACCAUCAUGGAAGGACAAGCCCUUACACGGGAUGUACCACCGGAACAUAACUGAAGUGGCUGAUCUCAACAAAUCCUACCAAUGGCUUGAAAGGGCCAGGCUGAAGGACAGCACAGAGGCACUCAUCCUGGCCGCACCGGAGCAGGCCCUGAGCACCAGAGCCAUAGAGGCCCAGAUCUACCACACCAGACAAGACCCAAGGUGUAGACUGUGCAAAGAAGCCCCUGAGACAGUCCAGCACAUAACUGCAGGGUGUAAGAUGCUGGCAGGGAAAGCAUACAUGGAACGCCAUAACCAAGUGGCUGGCAUAGUAUACAGGAACAUCUGCGCAGAGUAUGGACUGGAAACCCCAAGGUCAAAAUGGGAAACACCUCCCAAGGUGGUAGAGAACGAGCAAGCCAAGAUCCUGUGGGACUUCCAGAUACAGACUGACAGAAUGGUAAUGGCGAACCAACCAGACAUUGUGGUGGUGGAUAAAGAGCAGAGGAAAGCCGUAGUGGUGGAUGUGGCAAUACCAAGCGAUGGCAACAUCAGGAAAAAGGAACAUGAGAAACUAGAGAAAUACCAAGGGCUCAGAGAAGAACUGGAGAAGGCUUGGAAGGUGAAGGCCACAGUGGUGCCUGUGGUGAUCGGAGCACUGGGGGCUGUGACCCCCAAACUGGAGGAGUGGCUACAACAGAUCCCUGGAAAAACAUCCGAAAUCUCAGUCCAGAAAAGUGCAGUCCUAGGGACGCAAGGAUACUGCCCAGAACCCUCAAGGUCCCUGGCCUCUGGAAGAGGACCCGAGCUUGGAAAGUGGAUGAGACCACCCGCGGAGGGUGAGAAUAGAGUGUGUGUAUGUGUGUGUGUGUACACAUACAGUAGUGUGAGUUUUUCUUGCCUUGUCCGGUGUUUAGCCGCAGGAUCUGUUAGCCCUAUUUCCAGGUCAGCUCCUUUGAUACCGUUAUCAUGGCAUUUUUAUCUUCACAAUGGAUUUCCACUUUUAAUCCACAAUUCAAUCGUCUUUGUUUCAAUACCUCAUCUUUACUAA